This 65-nucleotide transfer RNA is filed under the name Polydora cf. ciliata DS-2023. Its description in RNAcentral is "tRNA-Leu". The record is from RNAcentral. Lineage: Eukaryota; Metazoa; Annelida; Polychaeta; Spionida; Spionidae.
AAUGUGUUGGCAGACAAAUGUACUUGAUUUAGGCUCAAGAUAUAAAGAUAUUUCUUUACACAUUA